GUGGGGAAUCUUGCGCAAUGGGCGAAAGCCUGACGCAGCCAUGCCGCGUGAAUGAUGAAGGUCUUAGGAUUGUAAAAUUCUUUCACCGGGGACGAUAAUGACGGUACCCGGAGAAGAAGCCCCGGCUAACUUCGUGCCAGCAGCCGCGGUAAUACGAAGGGGGCUAGCGUUGCUCGGAAUUACUGGGCGUAAAGGGCGCGUAGGCGGACAGUUUAGUCAGAGGUGAAAGCCCAGGGCUCAACCUUGGAAUUGCCUUUGAUACUGUCUGUCUUGAGUACGGGAGAGGUGAGUGGAACUCCGAGUGUAGAGGUGAAAUUCGUAGAUAUUCGGAAGAACACCAGUGGCGAAGGCGACUCACUGGCCCGUUACUGACGCUGAGGCGCGAAAGCGUGGGGAGCAAACAGGAUUAGAUACCCUGGUAGUCC
This 425-nucleotide ribosomal RNA is filed under the name uncultured bacterium. RNAcentral describes it as "partial 16S ribosomal RNA". It matches the Rfam family "Bacterial small subunit ribosomal RNA", at positions 354 to 796 of the family's 1533-position model. The record is from RNAcentral.